Molecule: long non-coding RNA, 1125 nt
Organism: Hydra vulgaris (swiftwater hydra)
Lineage: Eukaryota; Metazoa; Cnidaria; Hydrozoa; Anthoathecata; Hydridae
Source: RefSeq, a predicted model, not a curated record
AAUUCUUGUAUUUUCUUCAUAAAAGUUCUCUAAUAAUAAAAAAAAAAGUUUAUAGCAAAUUUCAAACUUGUAAAAAGAACAUUUCUGAGUCAGAGUCAGAUGUUGAAGAUUUCUUGGAUUUUCAAAAAAGUGUCACCAACAGACAAUCUCAACUGAUGUAGAGUGGCGCUUUCAGUUCUGGAUGAGCUUAAAGAAACGCUUAAAGAUGAUCUGCAUCAUCUGAUUUGUAGAAAUAAAAGUUUACCCCCAAGAGAUCAAAUUAAUUUUUUUUAUAUUCUUUGGGAGCUGCUUCAUUUUAUCAUGCGAGAUCAUGGUGUUGAAAAACAUUCCAGCAAUCAAGCUGUUCAUGCAGUUUUAAAUAGUUUGUUUUGUCAACGAGAGGAAAUUAUUCAUUAGUCUCAUCCUGUUGACACCCUCCCAGUAUGUUUUAUUCUAUGGCACAGAUUCCAAGUGUGUGUGGUUGCAUCGAUAAAAGUCACAUACCAAUCAUCCCUACAUCAAAAGAUGAAGAUGCAUUUCUCAAUCGCCACCAGUUUUAUUCAUUGAAUGUCCUUUACUUCUGUGGACCAGAUUUGUAUGUUUAUUAUGUUUAUGCUGAUGAAACUGGGCGAUGACAUGAUUCUAGGGUGUUAUGUCAAUCAGCACUUUAGAUUGCUUUUGAGGUCAGGGGUGAGCAAAUUUUUCCUGGAGCAGUUGUCUUAGAUGACUAUGGCUACCCCUGCAACAAUUGGAUCAUCGCACCUUACAGUGACAACCAAACAGCCUCCAAGCGUCGGUUCAAUGACGUGCACCGAAAAAGUAGAAAUAUUACCAAGCGAUGUUUUGGGGUUUUGAAAAACAGGUUUUACUUUCUGCAAGUACCUAUUUGAUUUUCUAAAGUAGAAAAUGCUGCAAAACUUGUUGUGUGUGCUUGUAUGAUUCACAACAUGUGCCUUAAAGUUGGCGAUAUGAAGAUUUUUCAGUUUUACCUGCCACACCUUUGCCCUUUCAAGCUUAAGAUGACACUCAAGCUGAAAUUCAAUCAGGUACUUGCACGGAUCAAAUACUGCAGUUGUUUAACUGAUAUAAAUAAACACAGUUUAUUAAAUUUUAGUUUUAAAAAAAUUAUUAAAUUUUAAACAAAAA